This is a long non-coding RNA of Canis lupus familiaris (dog), 1466 nucleotides long. RefSeq lists it as uncharacterized. The record is from RefSeq and is a predicted model, not a curated record. NCBI's taxonomy places the organism in Eukaryota, Metazoa, Chordata, Mammalia, Carnivora, Canidae. The transcript has 4 exons.
GACGGAGGAGAGGAGGAACAGCAUUACGGGCAAAGGGAACAGCCAUGGAAAAAGCUUUGUCCUCCUCCUGGGGACCUGGACAAGUCUGCGAUGUCUUAUUCUGAUUGGGGUUCUGAGAACCCAGGAGGAAAAACUGAGUGGGAUGGGAUAGAACUGGCUUAUGGGUUCAGAGUUUGACACCAAGGAACCCCCAAAGGCAGCAUUCAGGGAGAAAGGCAGAAUUAAACCUAGUGGAAAAAAUACCCACAUAGUGUCCUUUAGGCAAAACCCAGCGGUGGAGAAGCAGGAGCUGGAGGCAGCCCAGGGUUGAGGCCUGAGUAGGAGGCAGAGGCUGGAGAGAAACCUUUGCACAGAGCUCUAGGGGAUUUUUAGAGGCAGCCUGAUGGCGCAUCUGGGGUGGGGGAGAGCAGUGUUAAAGGCAUAGACCGUGUUCAGGGCGUCGUGGAAACAAAAGGUCCUUGGCAGGAAAUUAAGGUCAGUCGUUGCUACCACAAUGCCCAGCAACUGACAAGAAUGGUAGAAAAGGGAAAGUCAGGGGCUCGAUGAUGAGGAGCUUUGCAAAAUGUGCUCGGAGGACUGAACCAGCCUCCCAGCUGGGCCCUCCCCCCAGGCUGGCAUUAGCACCCCUGGCAGUUACCAGUGUGUCCUGAGAUGGUGCACAAGCAACGCUUUAAAGGUUUUCAGAAGCUUUAUGUUUAUUGUAUACAAAUCAGAAAAAAAUCCACAAUUAUUCAGAUACAACAACUGCUUACGACGAGGCCUAACAUAGUACCAGGAUGAGCUGGUCUGUAGAAAAAUACUAAUACUAAUACUAAUACAUACAAAAAACUAAUACUAAUACACACAAAAAAACACAAACGUUGAGAAAGAAGGUGGUCUAUAAAUGAUUGAAGUUUGAAAAUGUUGGCGAUAGGCAACGAGGAACCCCUGAUGAGUUCUAGGCACAGGGCUAUGUUCUAGAACGCCAUUCUUGGGGCAGGAGGAGGUGUGGAGCGGGGACUUGGAGGAACUACUCCUCCGGAUUCGCUAAUUCCUGGAGAUACUAAACACUUUGCCUGCAAGCACAGCUCUCUUAUGCAAACCGACCAAUCAUGAGUCCAUACUGUCAACCACCUCCUUUUAUCAGAUCUCAGCUCAAUUGUAAUUGCCUCAGAGAAGACUUCAUAAAGACACCAAAAAAAGUUUACUGACUCCUGCUCUAAAGGAUUUUGUAAAGGAUUCUCAAAGAGGACAACACACAGCCAGAUGUUAUUCAACAAUGAAGCCCAGAAGGAGGGACUAGAAUCUGAUAGAGCCCUAGAUAAAAAAUAAAUCACUCAGCCUGUUGGUGCUCUCCUUGUCUGGACUUCCAAAUUAGAGUGAGAAAGAAACAGUGGAGGAGAGACUGAAAAAAAAAAAAGAACAUAAUGACAUAGUCUCUUACAUUCUCAUAAUGCUCAAAUUCCAGGGAUCCUUCAGAUUUUGAU